AUGCUGGGAAAGUGGUCUGCCAGGAAUGACGAAACAGCCCCGCUGCAGUCUGAGGGGUGGAUCUCAGCUACAACCAACAGAAAAUGGGAAAUUUCUCUUACUACAUGGAGUUUCAAGGUGAGGGACUUUGUUGCCAACAAGACCAAUGCCUCAGAACCUGUGACUCAGUUUUGGCUGGAGGUAGGGGACCCAGGCCUGGAGGAGCCAAGCUGCAGUGAGACUUCAAGGCAGCCACACAGUCCACCGCCAGGGUUCAACUGCACCUCCUCAGCCUCAGCUGAGCACCAAGAUUCUGGGCUCCCCUUAUUGCCCUGUGAGCUGCUCCUGAGAAGUCAGAUCCGACUUGUCCUCUGUGGUCACCUUGGAGUUACACUUCCUUUCUCUCUGCCAUCUACUUUGAAGAACUCCUUUUCAGGUUGUCUUCUUCAGGAAUGA
RNAcentral lists this long non-coding RNA (435 nucleotides) under Canis lupus familiaris (dog). Its description in RNAcentral is "lncRNA (ENSCAFG00030026168.1, ENSCAFG00040012123.1)". Lineage: Eukaryota; Metazoa; Chordata; Mammalia; Carnivora; Canidae. The record is from RNAcentral.